Molecule: long non-coding RNA, 2476 nt
Organism: Oncorhynchus kisutch (coho salmon)
Lineage: Eukaryota; Metazoa; Chordata; Actinopteri; Salmoniformes; Salmonidae
Exons: 2
Source: RefSeq, a predicted model, not a curated record
UUUCACGAAGCUCCCAACGAACAGUUAUUGUACUGACGUUGCAUCCAGAGGCAGUUUGGAACUCGGUAGUGGGUGUUGCAACCGAGGGCAGACCAUUUUUACGCACUUCAGCACUCGGCAGUCCGGUUCUGUUAGCUUGUGUGGCCUACCACAUUGCGGCUGAGCCGUUGUUGCUCCUAGACAUUUCCACUUCACAAUAACAGCAGUUACAGUUGAGCGGGGCUGAUCUAGAAGGGCAGACAUUUGACCAACGGACUUGUUGUAAAGGUACCAUCCUAUCAGUGCCAAUGCCAUUCUACUGCCAAUUGCAUGGCUGUGUGCUCGAUUUUAUACACCUGUCAGCAAUGGGUGUGGCUGAAAUAGCUGAAUCCACUAAUUUGAAGGGUGUCCACAUAUAGUGUGUGUGUGCUUAUUAAGAACCCAAUCUUGUCUUAUUCCAGGGGAGAGGAGCAGUUCCCCAGUCGCUGGCUGACCUUCUUCAGUGCAAUCAAGUCCAACGGUAACGUCUUCAUCAGAGACUCCUCAGCAGCCCACCCCCUCGCCCUACUGCUGCUCACCGACUGUGACAUCACUGAGAGAGUGAAUGGUGACCGUGUGGAGGUGGCGUUCCCGGGGCGGUCGCUGGUACGCUGUGAGCUGUCUGUCCAGACAUGGGAGCUGCUGUGGGAGCUACGCUCCUCCAUCCAGACCAUGCUGUACCGCAACCUCCGCCCACACAGCUCAGCCAAUUACAUCACACAGGAUGGCAAGCUCAUCUCGCUAUUGGUGGAGCUGCUGAACAAUACUGAGUCCAAUACAGACCCCCAGCCAAACGGUGGCCACAGUGACUCUGAGGUAGACUGAUUCACUCGCAUUGGAAUAAAGGAAUGUCAAAGCACUGUGGAUGGAGUACUGCUUUGUGACCUGAAAAACCUCUGGCCGUAGCAAGAGUCCAUAGAUUUUUCUGGUCAGGAAAAAAGUACCAAAGCAAAAUGCUCGGGGCACGGUCUGCUGACAAAUCUGAGAAGACAUGUAAUAUCGGUUAACUGUACAAUAUUAUCCAUAGUUCACUACCCAUUCUAAAUGUCCUCUAUCUCCUCACCUGAGAUAUACAGAGAAAAUGUUUGAAAAUAUAGAUGAAUGUGAACACUGAGUUUAUAAUGGAGUUCGGGAAAAUACAUCAUGCCCUGAAGGUUUGACUCUUAAACUAUAUUUCAAGAGCCCCAUUUAAAUAGGAGUGAACUCAUGGUACUGUAAAUACUACUGUGAUUGCUCUCUAUAUGGGAGGAAAUCCAUUUGUUUGACUAGAUUAUGGACUCAAGUAUUUGUUUUUUGAAAAGCAGAAGUUGAAUGAAUCUGACUGUUAAUGAGUGUCUAGUGACCUGUGCACUACAGCGAGACGGUGUCAAGAUGACAAAAUAAUGAUUACAUGAAUGUAUUGUUAACCAUUAUUUUUUUAUUUAAAUAUGGUCUGUUGAAAGAAAGAUGUUAAACAAUGUUACUGGUUGCAAUUUUCCUCUCUGUACUGUGAUUGUGUCUGAAGUUAAAUGUAUUAUUCAUCUUUGGGCUGUAAGGUGAAGCCAGUUUUCAGGAGAACUCCUUGAGGAAGUGCAGGUGGAAGUUCUUCAGGCGUUUCAGUACCUCUUCCAUGGUCUCCACUGGGGUCAUGACACACAGUCUACAGAGAGAGAUGAGAACAAAUCAGUGGGGAAGUAUAACCAUUUAAAUAGAAUGAUGAGGCUAAUGCUAUGCUUCCCUGUUCAUUUGCAUAGGAUGAGUAGUGGAUAUGGAGCCAUUGACUACUGGAGUGUUUUAUGGUGACAUUUCUAUGUCCAGAAGCUGUUGACAGAGAGAGGAUUGUACCUGAUGUGGUGGGUGCCUUCCUUCUGUCCAUACUCACACCCCGGUCCCACACACACUCCUGCCUCCUCUAGUAACCGUUUACAGUACCACAGGUCAGGCUGCAUCCCCACCACCUGCAAUGGAAAACAGAAAACUCACAUAUAUAAGAGAUCAAAUCAUUAACUCCAGACUAUUUAGAAUUAAUCAGAUGUUGAAUCACAUGUUUUGUCUCUUGAAAUGCCCAUAUGACAAACAGCAGUAGUCAUGCUAGUGCUCUACCUGACCAUACAGUGUACUAUUUGCCCCAUGACUAACCUUGGCCUUCUCAAUGGCUGCUUGGGGUAGAUACAGCCGGGGGAAUACGAAAGCUCCUCCCAUCAUCGGCUGACAGCUGAUUCCUGGGAUAUUGUUCAGAAACUCUGGGACCCAGCUCAUGUUAUGGACCAGCAUGGCCCGGAUAGACUGGGUCUCCUGGCGGAGAUGGAAGAGAAGACUGAAAAGAAGGACACUGGGAGAGCAUAUUGUAUGGGACACUGAGGUGCAGUUGUGAAUAGGGGAAGGAAUACAUUUGUUUGAUUUUGAUGAACUAUUUCUUAUUUUAGAGACAUCAAUGAUUGCAGAGCACUAUCAUUAAACUACUUAUGACUAAAUGCUA